GAUGAACGCUAGCUACAGGCUUAACACAUGCAAGUCGAGGGGCAGCAUGGUCUUAGCUUGCUAAGGCCGAUGGCGACCGGCGCACGGGUGAGUAACACGUAUCCAACCUGCCGAUAACUCGGGGAUAACCCUUCGAAAGAAGGCCUAAUACCCGAUGGCAUAUCCCUUCCGCCUGGUUGGGAUAUUAAAGAACUUCGGUUAUCGAUGGGGAUGCGUUCCAUUAGCUUGUUGGCGGGUGACGGCCCACCAAGGCUUCGAUGGAUAGGGGUUCUGAGAGGAAGGUCCCCCCACAUUGGAACUGAGACACGGUCCAAACUCCUACGGGAGCAGCAGUGAGGAAUAUUGGGUCAAUGGGACGAGAGUCUGAACCAGCCAAGUAGCGUGAAGGAUGAAGGUCCUAUGGAUUGUAAACUUCUUUUAUACGGGAAUAAAGUGCAGUAUGCAUACUGUUUUGUAUGUACCGUAU
This 466-nucleotide ribosomal RNA is filed under the name uncultured bacterium. Its description in RNAcentral is "bacterial SSU rRNA". It matches the Rfam family "Bacterial small subunit ribosomal RNA", at positions 28 to 483 of the family's 1533-position model. The record is from RNAcentral.